CAAAAAUAAAGCCAAAUAAUUGGACGGAUGUCAUCACGUGAUCAAAAUUUCGAAAAUUUAAACGUUUUUACCGCCAAAAUUUAAACAAGCCGAAAGGAUAGAAUAAUAAUAGAAAAAAAGAGAAUAAACGCAGUUUUUGAGUUAUGUCUGCUGUAUUUUCUAAAGAUGUGUGAAUGAACAGAGGAAUAAAUAGGAGUUAGGUGUUACAUCAAUGCUCUUUUAUACUCCAGGACAGGUAUAGACGAAGACAGCUAUCUGGCACAGCAUGCACAAGUUACUAAGUUUAUUCAACAAAUCGUUCCCGAAAUAUCAGUGCGAUGACCUAAAGUACACUCGGACACAAAAAAAAUCUUGGCAAUGGAAGGCUAAUCAUCAUCUCACUGAGUUAUAUUAUACUCUAUUCUACCACAAAACUAGUCCAAGAAAAAUAACCAAUUUAGGCUUAUUUUUGAAUUUUAUAAAGAAUUUUUGAACAAUUCACAAGGAAAAUAUAA
Long non-coding RNA from Centruroides sculpturatus (bark scorpion), 494 nucleotides. RefSeq lists it as uncharacterized. The transcript has 3 exons. The record is from RefSeq and is a predicted model, not a curated record. NCBI's taxonomy places the organism in Eukaryota, Metazoa, Arthropoda, Arachnida, Scorpiones, Buthidae.